RNAcentral lists this transfer RNA (68 nucleotides) under Proechimys simonsi (Simon's spiny rat). RNAcentral describes it as "tRNA-Gly". The record is from RNAcentral. Lineage: Eukaryota; Metazoa; Chordata; Mammalia; Rodentia; Echimyidae.
GUCUUCUUAGUAUAAUUAGUACUACUGACUUCCAAUUAGUAAGAUCCGCACAGCAGCGGAAGAAGAUA